AUUCUCCCAUCCCAAGCGGUUUUUAUCAAAGAAUUGCUUGGCGGAUGGGGUCUGGAUGGGUGCCUCUGCCUGCGCUACCUAGCACAGGCUCGCCCGAAAUGCAUGAGCGCCUUGAGACACUUUGCAUCCGCCUCUCUGUUUGGGAGGAGGCGGCCAAGCAGUGUUUUUCUCCUGGCAUGGCAUGAUACGUCAUUUGCUAUGUCGCCUAAAGGAGGAAUGUUUGGUUGUGUCUGCGUGUGCUUCGAACUUGCCUCUGUGGCACAUCCCAAUUUCAC
This 275-nucleotide unclassified non-coding RNA is filed under the name uncultured Basidiomycota. RNAcentral describes it as "sequence contains ITS2". Lineage: Eukaryota; Fungi; Basidiomycota. The record is from RNAcentral.